Triplophysa dalaica is the source of this 913-nucleotide long non-coding RNA. RefSeq lists it as uncharacterized. Lineage: Eukaryota; Metazoa; Chordata; Actinopteri; Cypriniformes; Nemacheilidae. The record is from RefSeq and is a predicted model, not a curated record. The transcript is spliced from 3 exons.
AUGAUUAUAUUGUAUAAAUCCUGACAAACAAGUAAUACAUUUUUAAACUAUAUAGUAAAACAAAGGUUAAACGUUUUAAAUCAAUACAUUUAGUUGUUCCAAAUGCCCCUAUGCAGGCUGAUUAUCUUAAUAUUUGUAAGCAUAAAUAAUAGAAAAACAUUGAUCCUGUUGCAUAUUAAAAUAUCAGAUGCAAAACCCUCUAAGAAAUCCUCAGUCAACCUACGUUACUCAAAUAAUUUUGCUUCAAACCCCACUAAAUAACACACUCUGGCUCUGAAAAUACAUGGAGGAUUCAGAUAAAAUUACUCGUUUAAGAAAAUUGUUCCAAUUAACAACAACAGCACCGACCACACUUACCUAAAAACAGCCGUUGAAGAAGAGACGAGAAGAAUCCUGGGCGGGAAUAUAGUUUUCGAAUCCAAAGUAUCCCGUGAACCUGACUCAAAUCAACCAAUCAGAUGACGCGAGAAGCUGUCGUGAUCAUGUAAAUCGCGCCAAAACAAUUAACCAGCCAAUGGAUGAACUGAUCCAGAUGCAAACUGGUUGAAAACUUGGUGGGAGGAGUCGGAGUUCUGCGCACGCGCAGAGACUGCACAUUUGAUUUAAUUGCCAACUGCCACCGAUUCGUCUGAGGUUGUGUCUGAACAUCCCCUUUAUCAGAGUGUUCUGGUGCACUUGCUUUGCAUGCCGUGCUUGUCCUGUACCACUGUAGGUCUUUUUUUUCUGUGAGACCCAGCUGAAGAUAUCAAGAGCUCAGAUGUUGGCCUACAGUUCAUUACACUGACUUCUUUGAUGUUCCCUGAAAGACUGACUACUACCAUUUCAUUAAGCUAAACCGUGAACCUGUGACAGUUUGUGGAGUUUGAAUUUAAAGUCACACAUGUCUAUCAAUAAAUUGAAUGUUUUGUCAUGA